This 462-nucleotide ribosomal RNA is filed under the name Arthrobacter sp. 01WB02.1-63. RNAcentral's name for it is "bacterial SSU rRNA". It matches the Rfam family "Bacterial small subunit ribosomal RNA", at positions 1 to 481 of the family's 1533-position model. The record is from RNAcentral. Lineage: Bacteria; Bacillati; Actinomycetota; Actinomycetes; Micrococcales; Micrococcaceae.
UGAGCUUGAUCCUGGCUCAGGAUGAACGCUGGCGGCGUGCUUAACACAUGCAAGUCGAACGAUGACCCGGUGCUUGCACCGGGGAUUAGUGGCGAACGGGUGAGUAACACGUGAGUAACCUGCCCUUAACUCUGGGAUAAGCCUGGGAAACUGGGUCUAAUACCGGAUAUGACUCCUCAUCGCAUGGUGGGGGGUGGAAAGCUUUAUUGUGGUUUUGGAUGGACUCGCGGCCUAUCAGCUUGUUGGUGAGGUAAUGGCUCACCAAGGCGACGACGGGUAGCCGGCCUGAGAGGGUGACCGGCCACACUGGGACUGAGACACGGCCCAGACUCCUACGGGAGGCAGCAGUGGGGAAUAUUGCACAAUGGGCGAAAGCCUGAUGCAGCGACGCCGCGUGAGGGAUGACGGCCUUCGGGUUGUAAACCUCUUUCAGUAGGGAAGAAGCGAAAGUGACGGUACCUG